CACGUAGGGUGCAAGCGUUGUCCGGAAUCAUUGGGCGUAAAGAGCUCGUAGGCGGCUUAGUAAGUCGGGUGUGAAAACUCUAGGCUCAACCUAGAGACGCCACCCGAUACUGCUAUAGCUAGAAUCCAGUAGGGGAGUGUGGAAUUCCCAGUGUAGCGGUGAAAUGCGCAGAUAUUGGGAGGAACACCGGUGGCGAAGGCGGGUCUCUGGGCAGCAACUGACGCUGAGGAGCGAAAGCGUGGGGAGCGAACAGG
Molecule: ribosomal RNA, 254 nt
Filed under: uncultured bacterium
Lineage: Bacteria
Description: partial 16S ribosomal RNA
Rfam family: Bacterial small subunit ribosomal RNA
Source: RNAcentral